Molecule: long non-coding RNA, 367 nt
Filed under: Homo sapiens (human)
Lineage: Eukaryota; Metazoa; Chordata; Mammalia; Primates; Hominidae
Description: HSALNT0342629
Source: RNAcentral
UGGCAGCCAAAGGCUUCACCCAGCUCCCACAUAGCCCGCAGCCCAAAAGGCUGGUCUCACUUCCACAGUGCCCCCUUAACAGUACCAAGUUUAUUUCCAGAUAGCCAGUAAGCAGGGCUGAGAAUUUGCCCCAGGUUACAAGCCUCCCAGCUUAGAAAGCAAGCUGACUCACAGUUCCUCAGCUGUCCCAGGGAGCCUGCAGCAGCAGUCCACCUCCUUCAAAUGAUCUGUGGAUCCUCUUCACUUUCCUGAGUCUCGCUCCAUCCAUCACCCAGGCUGGAGUGCGGUGGUGCAAUCUCGACUCACUGCAACCUCCACCUCCCUGGUUCAAGCAAUUCUCCUGCCUCAGCCUCUCAAGUAGCUGGGA